AUUAACAGGUGUGACGCAGGAAGGUAGCCGGGCCGGGCAAUGGAAAUGACCUGGUCUAAGGGUGUAGGGCUGCCGGUAGGUAAAUCCGCCGGCUGUAUGCCUGAGACCUGAUGGGCGCCCACAUGGUGGGUGAUCCGGUGAUCCUAUGCUGCCUAGAAAAGCAUCGGCGCGAGGUUCAAACUGCCCGUACCCUAAACCGACACAGGUGGUCAGGUAGAGAAUACUAAGGCGAUCGAGAGAAUCAUGGUUAAGGAACUCGGCAAAAUGCCCCCGUAACUUCGGGAGAAGGGGGGCCCCAACCUUGAGCACCACGUGCUGGUGUGAGGGGAUCGGGGCCGCAGAGACCAGGGGGAAGCGACUGUUUAUCAAAAACACAGGUCCAUGCGAAGUCGUAAGACGAUGUAUAUGGACUGACUCCUGCCCGGUGCUGGAAGGUUAAGGGGACCCGUUAGCUUCGGCGAAGCGGAGAACUUAAGCCCCAGUAAACGGCGGUGGUAACUAUAACCAUCCUAAGGUAGCGAAAUUCCUUGUCGGGUAAGUUCCGACCUGCACGAAUGGAGUAACGACUUCCCCGCUGUCUCAACCGUGAACUCGGCGAAAUUGCAUUACGAGUAAAGAUGCUCGUUACGCGCAGAAGGACGGAAAGACCCCGUGACCUUUACUAUAGUUUGGUAUUGGUGUUCGGUGUGACUUGUGUAGGAUAGGUGGGAGACUGUGAAGCGGGCACGCCAGUGUUCGUGGAGUCGUCGUUGAAAUACCACUCUGGUCACUCUGGAUAUCUAACUUCGGCCCGUGAUCCGGGUCAGGGACAGUGCCUGAUGGGUAGUUUAACUGGGGCGGUUGCCUCCUAAAAUGUAACGGAGGCGCCCAAAGGUUCCCUCAGCCUGGUUGGCAAUCAGGUGUCGAGUGCAAGUGCACAAGGGAGCUUGACUGUGAGAGUGGCAGCUCGAGCAGGGACGAAAGUCGGGACUAGUGAUCCGGCGGCUCGUUGUGGAACGGCCGUCGCUCAACGGAUAAAAGGUACCUCGGGGAUAACAGGCUGAUCUUGCCCAAGAGUCCAUAUCGACGGCAUGGUUUGGCACCUCGAUGUCGGCUCGUCGCAUCCUGGGGCUGGAGUAGGUCCCAAGGGUUGGGCUGUUCGCCCAUUAAAGCGGUACGCGAGCUGGGUUCAGAACGUCGUGAGACAGUUCGGUCCCUAUCCUCUGCGCGCGUUGGAAAUUUGAGAAGGUCUGUCCUUAGUACGAGAGGACCGGGACGGACGAACCUCUGGUAUGUCAGUUGUACCGCCAGGUGCAUGGCUGAUUAGCUACGUUCGGGAUGGAUAACCGCUGAAAGCAUCUAAGCGGGAAGCCGGCUUCGAGAUGAGAUUUCCUUGCCCCUUUGAGGGUGUGAGGCCCCCAGCUAGAACACUGGGUUGAUAGGCUGGAUGUGGAAGCGAGGACUGAAGACUCGUGAAGCUGACCAGUACUAAUAGGCCGAUGACUUACACACA
This 1492-nucleotide ribosomal RNA is filed under the name Listeria monocytogenes. RNAcentral's name for it is "partial 23S ribosomal RNA". It matches the Rfam family "Bacterial large subunit ribosomal RNA", at positions 1459 to 2925 of the family's 2925-position model. Lineage: Bacteria; Bacillati; Bacillota; Bacilli; Caryophanales; Listeriaceae. The record is from RNAcentral.